This is a long non-coding RNA of Biomphalaria glabrata, 2155 nucleotides long. RefSeq lists it as uncharacterized. The transcript is spliced from 3 exons. NCBI's taxonomy places the organism in Eukaryota, Metazoa, Mollusca, Gastropoda, Planorbidae. The record is from RefSeq and is a predicted model, not a curated record.
UAGUCAUACUAUUUGCACUAUUAUUUCCAAUAUGUGCCAGAGUGUCUGCUAAAUGUAACUAGUAUGAUUAAAAACAUGGUCAUUGCAAAGUCUAACAUAUGGACAAGUCGGAUGCUUGGGGCUUGAUUCAGUGAAAGAAUGUUGGACAAGCAGAAGUGUUAUGGAGUGUGUGUGUUUUUAUAGUGACUGUGGAAAGAGGUAAGCGAUUGGAUGUGAAUGAUGCAAAAGUGGCAUUGUCCUCACUGGGUCUUAGUUAGGGGAGACGACUCCAGAAUGUAAGACUGAAAGGUUGUGUUAUUGUAGUGAGUUAGAUUGUAAGAAAUUUUAUUACUUAAGUCUACUACAUUUAUUUCCUAUGAUCACAAGUAUUAUAAAUGUUAUAUUUAGUUUCGUUCACAAGGAAGUUGUUCAAGUUCUUAUUAGCUAAGAUAUAUUAUGCCUUCAACAGUUUAGUUGCCUACCAGCAGUUUGGUGCUACAAGUCAACAACAGUCAGACUAAAUUAAAUAAAGCCAUGUCUAUUUCUACAUGAUUUUGUUGCUACUAACCUGGUGUUACUAACAACUAACUUGAAAAGGGAGAGGGGAAUUAUCAUCUUAUUCAUGCUCUAACUCUUCAAAUUCUAUAGAAUUGCAGAGAACUGACAUGAAAUAAAACAUUAACAAAAUGUGUAUUAUAAUUGUCACUUUUCCUCUGCUUAGCAUUUUUUUUCUCCUAGAUUUUCAUAAUAUUUUGUUGAAGUCAUUUCAGUUCUCAAUUAUUUUGUGCACUAAGUUACAAGAAAAAAUUCAAGCAAAAGAGGUCACUACACUAAGACUUUGUCUUCUCAUAAGAAUGGAUGGCUUCCUGGUCAUGUGAUAUGUGUGCUGGACUGUGUGUGGUCAUCUUGAUGCUCAUAUCUUGCCUGCUGACAUUUAUUAUGCUGGACAUUUGGUCAAGGAAUUAGAUUCUCUUCAGCUCUCAAGAAACAUUCAAAACAUGUCAAACAUUUGACAAGAAUAUCAAACUUGUGCAGUGUACAUACCAACAUGAUGAAAAGGUAGACAACCACGAAGAUGUAGACCAACAUGAUGAAGAUGUAGACCAACAUGAUGAUGUAGACCAACAUGAUGAAGAUGUAGACCAACAUGAUGAUGUAGACCAACAUGAAGAUGUAGACCAACAUGAAGAUGUAGACCUACAUGAUGAAGAUGUAGACCAGCAUGAUGAAGAUGGACCGAAUGAAGAUGAAAUGUAAACCAAAAUAUUGAUCAAGAAUAGGGAAUAAAAUGUGAACAUCUUGAGAAGGAAAACCAUUCCUAGAGGCAAAAACACAGACACAGUAGAUACAUUAGAGAUUGCUUCCUUUUCUACCAUCAUUUAGAGCCUUCCUUGUGCUCUAAGGAACCUGCCAUUAUCUUUUGAUAGCUCAUUGUCGGUGAAGAGGUUUUUACAUACCUAGUGCAUCUGAAAGAAAUGAACAUUUCCCUAAUGCUACUUCAAAACCAGACCUUCUCAAGACAAUCUUAGUGACCAAGCUGCAGUAGGAAACAAGAAUCCUCCCAACCUCAGGUUGAGUACCCAUGCUCACCUACUAGAGUGGCGACACAUACUUCUCCUACACCCACACUUUUAACAUUCUGAACCCUGUAACCCUACCUCACAACAUGGUUUCAUUACUAGAAGUGGUCCUGAAGUUAUGAAAACUAAAAGAUACAAUGAAUAGAACAAUCAUUUCUAAUACAGGCACAACUAGUCAAGUUAUGUACUUUGUAAGAACUAAUUAGUUUGAAUUACCAUAAUUGACUUGUAUCUUGUUCUAUAUUUAGGUAUAUCUUGACUAUCAGUCCAGUCAUUUGUUCAUUUUUUUUUUAAUUUACCUUUUUUUUCCCCCUCAAUCUUCUUGUUUCGGUUAAAUGUUUUUAUAUUUUUUUGUCUUUGGAGGAGUGAAGUUCUAUGGUAUAGUACCGGUAUCAUUAUUAUUAUUGUAUUAAGCAAACUUGUAUAUGUAUGUUUAUUCAUGAAUACUAAUGAAGAACAUCACUUCUGGAUCAUCUACCAAAAAUGUUGUAAACACUAUACAUGUCUGAGUUAACCUUGGAUAUUCUAUAGAGUCACAACACCAAAGCCUUGCUACAUUAUGCUUAAUUCAAUUUACUAUCUCCCCUGCUUUUGUG